UCUGGUGACAAUGGCAAGGAGGUCACACCUGUUCCCAUACCGAACACAGAAGUUAAGCUCCUUAGCGCCGAUGGUAGUCGGACUGACGUUCCGCUAGAGUAGGACGUUGCCAGGC
This 115-nucleotide ribosomal RNA is filed under the name Staphylococcus epidermidis. The record is from RNAcentral. Lineage: Bacteria; Bacillati; Bacillota; Bacilli; Caryophanales; Staphylococcaceae.